UCUCGAGCCACAAAGCAACCUGGUAGAGGAACUUGAUGUGAUUGAGUUCAUAGAAUUCUCACAUUAAGCUCUCAUAAGCUCUAGACAAUUACCUAACCCUUAAUAUGCUCCACGAGUUUUGUUGUCUAUUUGGGUUGUGCAGGAUUUUGAGGUUUAAGAAGAGUGAGACCGAACAUGCAGGCCACAAGAGUGAACGACUAUGUCAACAUCCAGCUUGGGGGAGGCACCCCCACGUGUAUCUAGAUAAGUAUUACUUUUCUUUCUUGGUUUUAUUACUAGUAUUCGGAAAUAAAUAAAAAAUGCAUAACCAUGAAACCAAACAAAGUUUUUUCUUUUGAGUAAUAUACAAUAGUUUUGUGUAAUCCUAUGUUUUAAAUAAAAUAAAAAGAAAGUUUGAUCCAAGUCUAGGUAAUUGACAAACAUGAUAUGAGAAGGUCUAAGCUACUAUUUAACUUGUUUCAAGUUUCGCUAGAGUUCUAGAGAUUUUAUCUUUUGAAAAUCUAAAAAUUAAAAAAAAAGAGAUCCUGUUUGACAUAAUACCUAGAGUCUUAUAAGAUAUAAAUAUUAAAACUGUGGGCACUUGCUUUGUUCAAGCCAUUGUUAAUUAUUGUAGUUUUGGUUGAGAGAAUUAUCAUGCUCCAAAGAUUAAGAUCUUUUUGUUUUAAAAAUAUAAAAGAUUCACUCUUCUGAAGUAUUAUUGCGUUAGAGGCAUGGGACUAUGCAAAAAUUUGAUUCGAAAAAAAGAAGAGUGAGACAAGAGGUAAAAAUGGACAAGUGUUCGAAGUAGAAUUAGGGAUACAAAGAUACCCGCCUGACUGGAAAAAAAUGGACACGUGUCCAAUAGUAGAAUUAGGGGUACUUGGCACUUGAAAAAAAAGAAGAAAAGAAUGAUAGCCCAUGGUCCCUCUAAUAGGCAAUAUGCCACUAAGAGAUGACAAACUUUUCAAAAAGGUCAAAGGUCUUGAUCUAGGAGUAUGACAUUCCUCUCCCUUGCUCCGAGCAUUGACAUAGCAAAAUGCAAAGUAAGUAUGCUAAAACUUUUAAAGCUCUACUUAUAUAUCUUUCGAGAAGAAGGCAAAUGCCUCAGUUUUAUUUUGGGAACUUACAAAAAAC
This 1113-nucleotide long non-coding RNA is filed under the name Sorghum bicolor (sorghum). RNAcentral's name for it is "long non-coding RNA (SBIC_LNC003169)". The record is from RNAcentral. Lineage: Eukaryota; Viridiplantae; Streptophyta; Magnoliopsida; Poales; Poaceae.